UUUCCGUAGGUGAACCUGCGGAAGGAUCAUUGUCGAAACCUGCCCAGCAGAACGACCCGCGAACUUGUAUAAACAACCGGGGGCGGGGGGCGUUCUCGCCCCGUGCCCCCGAACGGCGGGGAGACACUCGUGCCUUCUUGCCGAACAACGAACCCCGGCGCGGUCUGCGCCAAGGAACUUCAACUAAAGAGUGCCUCCGGUCGCCUCGGAAACGGCGUGCGUGCCGGGGGCGAAUCUUGUGCAUAACCAUAACGACUCUCGGCAACGGAUAUCUCGGCUCUC
RNAcentral lists this unclassified non-coding RNA (282 nucleotides) under plant metagenome. RNAcentral describes it as "partial contains small subunit ribosomal RNA, internal transcribed spacer 1, and 5.8S ribosomal RNA". The record is from RNAcentral.